This 322-nucleotide ribosomal RNA is filed under the name uncultured eukaryote. RNAcentral's name for it is "partial 18S ribosomal RNA". It matches the Rfam family "Eukaryotic small subunit ribosomal RNA", at positions 1470 to 1796 of the family's 1831-position model. The record is from RNAcentral.
CCCUUAGAUGUUCUGGGCCGCACGCGUGCUACACUGAGUAAUUCAAUGGGUAAGGGAACGCUAGAGCAUUACCUAAUCUUGAAAUUUGCUCGUGAUGGGGAUCGACGGUUGCAAUUUUCCGUCGUGAACGAGGAAUACCUUGUAGGCGCAUGUCAUCAUCAUGCGCCGAAUACGUCCCUGCCCUUUGUACACACCGCCCGUCGCUCCUACCGAUUGAGUGAUCCGGUGAGGCUCUGGGACCUGGACGGAAAGAGCGUUUCGCUGUUUCUGCUCGGAAAACUCAGUCGAACCUUAUCAUUUAGAGGAAGGAGAAGUCGUAACA